AGACACAGAACCGUUGACCCCUGUGGCGGGGUGGAGAGACGGGCUGGCUUUAUUUCAAAGCUCUCUAAGGAGGCGGGCGGGGCCGCGGGGCAGGGAGGACUGGCUGGCCUCUGGGCGUCCCUAUGAAGAGGAUCUUUUGGUCCAGGAGGAGGCGCCCUCGGCCGGGCCACUUCUCCACCAGCCCGUGGGCAUCCUGCCUGGGCUUUGGGUGUGCCGGAGGUGAAAGCCAGGCAGUGCCCAGAUACCUCGCUGGAUACUGCGCGGUGGGACAGCUCCACCGGGCUGCGAGUGUCGGCGCUGUAGCUACAGUGGAGCGUUUCCUCACGUUCCGGGUAAACGGUGUCAACGACCCAGACAAGAAGAACAGAACUGCACUGCACUAUGCUUGUGCGCAUGGCCACCUGGGGGUGGUAACUCUUCUCAUAGAGAGGAACUGCAACAUUAAUGCCUGCGAUGACGACAACUGCACGCCUCUCAUUAAGGCCUCACAGCAUCAGCAUGGGGACUGUGUGGCUGCCUUGCUACAACACGGUGCAGAUCCCAAUGCUGUGGAUGCUCUUGGAAACACUGCCCUCCACUAUGCAGUACACAGUGAAAACACGUUCAUAGCUUCCCAGCUCCUUGAACACAGCGCCAACAUUGAAGCCAAAACAAAGGAGAGAACCUGCCACACAUUUGAUGAAAAUGAACAGAAGUGAAAAUAAAGGCUAUUUUCCGGGAGAUUCCAUGGCAACGUUUGAGAAGUGUGCUGCAGACACAAGUGCUGAGCCACCAGUGAAGCAGAGCUGUGCUCGCCAACUCCAUCAGGACGGACAAAGCCCUGCAAAGAGCACAUCUAAAGAAAAGCACGAGGCCAAGAAGCAAAUCAACGGUGUGGAAGGCCUGGAAGAUGGGACUCUGCCGUGUGAAGCAGCCUCAGAUGACUUUGCAGGAAGCACAGUUGCAAGAAGAUCCACAGAGGGAAGGUGUCCUGAGUUCUGCAAGAAUGGAACAUCUGCUAUGGAAGCUGGAAGUUGAGUGUCUCAAGUUAGAAGACUCAGUAAAGAACCAAGCAGAAGAAAUUGAAGAGAUUGAGAAUCAACUGUUACGAGAAGAUUUGACUGGAGACAAAAAGAGAGAACGAAGCGAAGUGACCCAGUCAACACAAUCUCUGGCACGUGCUUUGGAGCAGGAGAUGGAGAAAAGUGAAGAAUUAAAAAAGGAACUCUGUGGAUUUAUGGAAGUCUUAAAAAUGACAGGAAAGAAGUUAGAUGAA
RNA transcript from Mus musculus (house mouse), 1255 nucleotides. It is a transcript of the gene named predicted gene 10044, with no coding region annotated. The transcript is spliced from 10 exons. The record is from RefSeq and is marked validated. Lineage: Eukaryota; Metazoa; Chordata; Mammalia; Rodentia; Muridae.